CCUACGGGUGGCAGCAGUGAGGAAUAUUGGUCAAUGGACGAGAGUCUGAACCAGCCAAGUAGCGUGAAGGAUGACUGCCCUAUGGGUUGUAAACUUCUUUUAUAUGGGAGUAAAAUGUUCCACGUGUGGGAUUUUGUAUGUACCCUAUGACUAAGGAUCGGCUAAAUCCGUGCCAGCAGCCGCGGUAAUAAGGGGGAUCCCAGCGUUAUCCGGAUUUAUUGGGUGUAAAGGGAGCGUAGGUGGAUAGUUAAGUCAGUAGUGAAAGUUUGAGGCUCAACCCUAAAAUUGCAGUUGAAACUGGGUGUCUUGAGUACAGGAGAGGUGGGCGGAAUUCGUGGUGUAGCGGUGAAAUGCGUAGAUAUCACGAAGAACCCCGAUUGCGAAGGCAGCUUACUAAACUGUGACUGACAUUGAUGCUCGAAAGUGUGGGUAUCAAACAGGAUUAGAUACCCUGGUAGUC
Molecule: ribosomal RNA, 460 nt
Filed under: uncultured bacterium
Lineage: Bacteria
Description: partial 16S ribosomal RNA
Rfam family: Bacterial small subunit ribosomal RNA
Source: RNAcentral